UUAGGUUAGCGGCGGACGGGUGAGUAACACGUAGGCAACCUGCCUGUAAGACCGGGAUAACUUGCGGAAACGUGAGCUAAUACCGGAUAGCCGGUUUCUUCGCAUGAAGAAGUCAUGAAAGACGGGGCAACCUGUCACUUACAGAUGGGCCUGCGGCGCAUUAGCUAGUUGGUAGGGUAACGGCUUACCAAGGCGACGAUGCGUAGCCGACCUGAGAGGGUGAACGGCCACACUGGGACUGAGACACGGCCCAGACUCCUACGGGAGGCAGCAGUAGGGAAUCUUCCGCAAUGGACGAAAGUCUGACGGAGCAACGCCGCGUGAGUGAUGAAGGUUUUCGGAUCGUAAAGCUCUGUUGCCAAGGAAGAACGGCCAGGGGAGUAACUGCCCCUGGAGUGACGGUA
RNAcentral lists this ribosomal RNA (404 nucleotides) under Paenibacillus larvae. RNAcentral's name for it is "bacterial SSU rRNA". It matches the Rfam family "Bacterial small subunit ribosomal RNA", at positions 87 to 477 of the family's 1533-position model. The record is from RNAcentral. Lineage: Bacteria; Bacillati; Bacillota; Bacilli; Caryophanales; Paenibacillaceae.